Molecule: long non-coding RNA, 287 nt
Filed under: Mustela putorius furo (domestic ferret)
Lineage: Eukaryota; Metazoa; Chordata; Mammalia; Carnivora; Mustelidae
Description: lncRNA (ENSMPUG00000029437.1)
Source: RNAcentral
CUAGAGUUCUGAUCUGUGGUCAAAUAAGGGAAAUGGUGGAAAUGAAGUCAUAUUUUUUGUGCAUUUGAGUCAGGGACAGUACCAUGCGUUUUACAUUCACUUAUUUAAUUUUGAUGACAAUGUUACUAUCCUCAUUUUACAGACUGGGAAUACAGUCUCCAGGGAGAUUAAAUAAUUUGCCCCAUGUCACACUGGACUUCCUCUGCAAUGCCUGCUAGCAGAGAGAGAGGAGGAAGCAAGUUCCCCGCUGAGCAAAGAACCCAAUGUGGGGCUCGAUCCCAGGACCC